This 253-nucleotide ribosomal RNA is filed under the name uncultured bacterium. Its description in RNAcentral is "partial 16S ribosomal RNA". It matches the Rfam family "Bacterial small subunit ribosomal RNA", at positions 524 to 776 of the family's 1533-position model. The record is from RNAcentral.
UACAGAGGGGGCAAGCGUUAUUCGGAAUUAUUGGGCGUAAAGGGCGCGUAGGCGGCCUUUCAAGUGACGGGUGAAAGCCCUCGGCUUAACCGAGGAACUGCCUGUCAGACUGGAAGGCUUGAGACCGGGAGAGGAGAGUGGAAUUCCCAGUGUAGCGGUGAAAUGCGUAGAUAUUGGGAGGAACACCAGUGGCGAAGGCGGCUCACUGGACCGGUACUGACGCUGAGGCGCGAAAGCGUGGGGAGCAAACAGG